Molecule: ribosomal RNA, 493 nt
Filed under: uncultured bacterium
Lineage: Bacteria
Description: bacterial SSU rRNA
Rfam family: Bacterial small subunit ribosomal RNA
Source: RNAcentral
GAUGAACGCUAGCUACAGGCUUAACACAUGCAAGUCGAGGGGAAACGACAUCGAAAGCUUGCUUUUGAUGGGCGUCGACCGGCGCACGGGUGAGUAACGCGUAUCCAACCUGCCCGUCACUUGGGAAUAACCUUGCGAAAGUAAGACUAAUGCCCAAUGACAUUUAUAGAAGGCAUCUGAAAUGAAUUAAAGAUUUAUCGGUGAUGGAUGGGGAUGCGUCUGAUUAGCUUGUUGGCGGGGUAACGGCCCACCAAGGCGACGAUCAGUAGGGGUUCUGAGAGGAAGGUCCCCCCACAUUGGAACUGAGACACGGUCCAAACUCCUACGGGAGGCAGCAGUGAGGAAUAUUGGUCAAUGGGCGAGAGCCUGAACCAGCCAAGUAGCGUGCAGGAUGACGGCCCUAUGGGUUGUAAACUGCUUUUAUACGGGGAUAAAGUGGGUCACGUGUGGCUUAUUGCAGGUACCGUAUGAAUAAGGACCGGCUAAUUCCGUG